CUCCCAGGUGUUUGCAGAAGAAGGACAGAAUUUGCUUCCAAGCAUCUACUUGGGCCCUGGAAUGAGGCCUGGGCUGCCCACCCCACAUCACAGAUCCAUUGAUGGAAACUGUGGCUGAGACAUUCUUCAAGAAUGAGGCCAUCGAGAGACAAAUAUCAGCCCCUAGAGAAAUGCCCAAAAGCCCGAUGCCUGGGCCUUUGACCUGGAGGAAAAGAAGAGAGAAGAGUCAAGAACUUAUCCAACACAAAAAUAUAUUUCUGAAAUACAACUAGAGAUGCUACUAGCAUUAAGCUGGGAAUUAUCCAUAAGAAAAUCAACCUCAUCUGACAGUGGAGUUUCUUCUUAUUAAAUAUAUGGCUGAACACAUGGUAAACAAA
Microcebus murinus (gray mouse lemur) is the source of this 377-nucleotide non-coding RNA. The record is from RefSeq and is a predicted model, not a curated record. Lineage: Eukaryota; Metazoa; Chordata; Mammalia; Primates; Cheirogaleidae.